Molecule: ribosomal RNA, 254 nt
Filed under: uncultured bacterium
Lineage: Bacteria
Description: partial 16S ribosomal RNA
Rfam family: Bacterial small subunit ribosomal RNA
Source: RNAcentral
CACGUAGGGUGCGAGCGUUGUCCGGAAUUAUUGGGCGUAAAGAGCUCGUAGGCGGUGUGUCGCGCCGGCCGUGAAAACCUGCAGCUUAACUGUGGGCUUGCGGUCGAUACGGGCAUCACUGGAGUUCGGCAGGGGAGACUGGAAUUCCUGGUGUAGCGGUGAAAUGCGCAGAUAUCAGGAGGAACACCGGUGGCGAAGGCGGGUCUCUGGGCCGAUACUGACGCUGAGGAGCGAAAGCGUGGGGAGCGAACAGG